GGGUUGUGAGGUUAAGCGACUAAGCGUACACGGUGGAUGCCCUGGCAGUCAGAGGCGAUGAAGGACGUGCUAAUCUGCGAAAAGCGUCGGUAAGGUGAUAUGAACCGUUAUAACCGGCGAUGUCCGAAUGGGGAAACCCAGUGCAAUUCGUUGCACUAUCGUUAACUGAAUACAUAGGUUAACGAGGCGAACCGGGGGAACUGAAACAUCUAAGUACCCCGAGGAAAAGAAAUCAACCGAGAUUCCCCCAGUAGCGGCGAGCGAACGGGGAGCAGCCCAGAGUCUGAAUCAGCUUGUGUGUUAGUGGAACGGUCUGGAAAGUCCGACGGUACAGGGUGAUAGUCCCGUACACCAAAAUGCACAGGUUGUGAACUCGAAGAGUAGGGCGGGACACGUGGUAUCCUGUCUGAAUAUGGGGGGACCAUCCUCCAAGGCUAAAUACUCCUGACUGACCGAUAGUGAACCAGUACCGUGAGGGAAAGGCGAAAAGAACCCCGGCGAGGGGAGUGAAAAAGAACCUGAAACCGUGUACGUACAAGCAGUGGGAGCACCUUCGGGUGUGACUGCGUACCUUUUGUAUAAUGGGUCAGCGACUUAUAUUCUGUAGCAAGGUUAACCGUAUAGGGGAGCCGCAGGGAAACCGAGUCUUAACUGGGCGUUAAGUUGCAGGGUAUAGACCCGAAACCCGGUGAUCUAGCCAUGGGCAGGUUGAAGGUUGGGUAACACUAACUGGAGGACCGAACCGACUAAUGUUGAAAAAUUAGCGGAUGACUUGUGGCUGGGGGUGAAAGGCCAAUCAAACCGGGAGAUAGCUGGUUCUCCCCGAAAGCUAUUUAGGUAGCGCCUCGUGAAUUCAUCUUCGGGGGUAGAGCACUGUUUCGGCUAGGGGGUCAUCCCGACUUACCAACCCGAUGCAAACUACGAAUACCGAAGAAUGUUAUCACGGGAGACACACGGCGGGUGCUAACGUCCGUCGUGAAGAGGGAAACAACCCAGACCGCCAGCUAAGGUCCCAAAGUCAUGGUUAAGUGGGAAACGAUGUGGGAAGGCACAGACAGCCAGGAUGUUGGCUUAGAAGCAGCCAUCAUUUAAAGAAAGCGUAAUAGCUCACUGGUCGAGUCGGCCUGCGCGGAAGAUGUAACGGGGCUAAACCAUGCACCGAAGCUGCGGCAGCGACACUAUGUGUUGUUGGGUAGGGGAGCGUUCUGUAAGCCUGCGAAGGUGUGCUGUGAGGCAUGCUGGAGGUAUCAGAAGUGCGAAUGCUGACAUAAGUAACGAUAAAGCGGGUGAAAAGCCCGCUCGCCGGAAGACCAAGGGUUCCUGUCCAACGUUAAUCGGGGCAGGGUGAGUCGACCCCUAAGGCGAGGCCGAAAGGCGUAGUCGAUGGGAAACAGGUUAAUAUUCCUGUACUUGGUGUUACUGCGAAGGGGGGACGGAGAAGGCUAUGUUAGCCGGGCGACGGUUGUCCCGGUUUAAGCAUGUAGGCUUUGUCCAGGCAAAUCCGGAUAAUCAAGGCUGAGGUGUGAUGACGAGGCACUACGGUGCUGAAGUAACAAAUGCCCUGCUUCCAGGAAAAGCCUCUAAGCAUCAGGUAACAUCAAAUCGUACCCCAAACCGACACAGGUGGUCAGGUAGAGAAUACCAAGGCGCUUGAGAGAACUCGGGUGAAGGAACUAGGCAAAAUGGUGCCGUAACUUCGGGAGAAGGCACGCUGGUGUGUAGGUGAAGUCCCUGCGGAUGGAGCUGAGACCAGUCGAAGAUACCAGCUGGCUGCAACUGUUUAUUAAAAACACAGCACUGUGCAAACACGAAAGUGGACGUAUACGGUGUGACGCCUGCCCGGUGCCGGAAGGUUAAUUGAUGGGGUUAUCCGUAAGGAGAAGCUCUUGAUCGAAGCCCCGGUAAACGGCGGCCGUAACUAUAACGGUCCUAAGGUAGCGAAAUUCCUUGUCGGGUAAGUUCCGACCUGCACGAAUGGCGUAAUGAUGGCCAGGCUGUCUCCACCCGAGACUCAGUGAAAUUGAACUCGCUGUGAAGAUGCAGUGUACCCGCGGCAAGACGGAAAGACCCCGUGAACCUUUACUAUAGCUUGACACUGAACAUUGAGCCUUGAUGUGUAGGAUAGGUGGGAGGCUUUGAAGCGUGGACGCCAGUCUGCGUGGAGCCAACCUUGAAAUACCACCCUUUAAUGUUUGAUGUUCUAACGUUGGCCCCUGACCGGGGUUGCGGACAGUGUCUGGUGGGUAGUUUGACUGGGGCGGUCUCCUCCCAAAGCGUAACGGAGGAGCACGAAGGUUAGCUAAUCCUGGUCGGACAUCAGGAGGUUAGUGCAAUGGCAUAAGCUAGCUUGACUGCGAGCGUGACGGCGCGAGCAGGUGCGAAAGCAGGUCAUAGUGAUCCGGUGGUUCUGAAUGGAAGGGCCAUCGCUCAACGGAUAAAAGGUACUCCGGGGAUAACAGGCUGAUACCGCCCAAGAGUUCAUAUCGACGGCGGUGUUUGGCACCUCGAUGUCGGCUCAUCACAUCCUGGGGCUGAAGUAGGUCCCAAGGGUAUGGCUGUUCGCCAUUUAAAGUGGUACGCGAGCUGGGUUUAGAACGUCGUGAGACAGUUCGGUCCCUAUCUGCCGUGGGCGCUGGAGAAUUGAGGGGGGCUGCUCCUAGUACGAGAGGACCGGAGUGGACGCAUCACUGGUGUUCGGGUUGUCAUGCCAAUGGCACUGCCCGGUAGCUAAAUGCGGAAGAGAUAAGUGCUGAAAGCAUCUAAGCACGAAACUUGCCCCGAGAUGAGUUCUCCCUGAGACUUUAAGUCUCCUGAAGGAACGUUAAAGACGAUGACGUUGAUAGGCCGGGUGUGUAAGCGCAGCGAUGCGUUGAGCUAACCGGUACUAAUGAACCGUGAGGCUUAACCUUACAACGCCGAAG
This 2921-nucleotide ribosomal RNA is filed under the name Klebsiella pneumoniae subsp. pneumoniae. RNAcentral's name for it is "bacterial LSU rRNA". It matches the Rfam family "Bacterial large subunit ribosomal RNA". Lineage: Bacteria; Pseudomonadati; Pseudomonadota; Gammaproteobacteria; Enterobacterales; Enterobacteriaceae. The record is from RNAcentral.